Molecule: ribosomal RNA, 533 nt
Filed under: uncultured fungus
Lineage: Eukaryota; Fungi
Description: eukaryotic LSU rRNA
Rfam family: 5.8S ribosomal RNA (bases 48-202)
Source: RNAcentral
UAAUAAAGUCUUAUGGAAUGUAUGCAGCGUUUAACGCAAUACAAUACAACUUUCAGCAACGGAUCUCUUGGCUCUCGCAUCGAUGAAGAACGCAGCGAAAUGCGAUAAGUAAUGUGAAUUGCAGAAUUCAGUGAAUCAUCGAAUCUUUGAACGCACCUUGCGCCCUUUGGCUAUUCCGAAGGGCAUGCCUGUUUGAGUAUCAUGAACACCUCAACUCUCAUGGUUUGCCGUGAUGAGCUUGGACUUUGGGGGUCUUGCUGGCCUGUGGUCAGCUCCUCUCAAAUGAAUCAGCUUUCCAGUGUUUGGUGGCAUCACAGGUGUGAUGAAUAUCUACACUUGCGGUUUCCUGCCAAGUAACCUUUCAGCAAUGGAGGUUCGCUGGGGCUCAUAAAUGUCUCUCCUCAGUGAGGACAGCUUUGUGAAUGUUUGAUCUCAAAUCAGGUAGGACUACCCGCUGAACUUAAGCAUAUCAAUAAGCGGAGGAAAAGAAACUAACAAGGAUUCCCCUAGUAACUGCGAGUGAAGCGGGAAGA